UCAAUAUAGUUUUAUUAACGAUUCACUUACACUGAAAAAAUCUCAUAAAUCACAUCUUUU
Molecule: transfer RNA, 60 nt
Filed under: Mesabolivar sp. ITV1036I1
Lineage: Eukaryota; Metazoa; Arthropoda; Arachnida; Araneae; Pholcidae
Also listed under: 1 other name
Description: tRNA-Val
Source: RNAcentral